ACAAAUCCAGCUAAGAGGGAGAAAGAGAAAUGUAACUCAGCAACAACUACUUCGUUUAGUUUAUAGAAAUAGAUUUCAGAUGCCUAGUACUUGACACAACUGAGUAAGGUGAACUAUCAUGGUCUCAGGUUAACACAUCGUGACCCAUCAGUUUUACAAAUGCGAAAAUGUCUACCAAAUAAAGGUAUUUCCUGAAAAAGAUCCAGCAAUCAAAAUCAGAACUAUGAUACUGACAUCUCCGCAACUGA
Molecule: unclassified non-coding RNA, 248 nt
Filed under: Hevea brasiliensis (rubber tree)
Lineage: Eukaryota; Viridiplantae; Streptophyta; Magnoliopsida; Malpighiales; Euphorbiaceae
Source: RNAcentral